CACGUAGGGCGCAAGCGUUGUCCGGAAUUACUGGGCGUAAAGCGCACGUAGGCGGGUACUUAAGUCAGGGGUGAAAUCCCGGGGCUCAACCCCGGAACUGCCUUUGAUACUGGGUAUCUCGAGUCCGGAAGAGGUGAGUGGAAUUCCGAGUGUAGAGGUGAAAUUCGUAGAUAUUCGGAGGAACACCAGUGGCGAAGGCGGCUCUCUAGUACGGUACUGACGCUGAGACGCGAAAGCGUGGGGAGCGAACAGG
This 253-nucleotide ribosomal RNA is filed under the name uncultured bacterium. RNAcentral's name for it is "partial 16S ribosomal RNA". It matches the Rfam family "Bacterial small subunit ribosomal RNA", at positions 524 to 776 of the family's 1533-position model. The record is from RNAcentral.